UGGGGAAUUUUGCACAAUGGGGGAAACCCUGAUGCAGCGACGCCGCGUGAUUUAGAAGGCCUUCGGGUUGUAAAAAUCUUUUCUAUGGGAAGAAAAUGACAGUACCAUAGGAAUAAGGACCGGCUAAUUACGUGCCAGCAGCCGCGGUAAUACGUAAGGUCCGAGCGUUGUCCGGAAUCAUUGGGCGUAAAGGGUACGUAGGCGGGUAAGCAAGUUAGAAGUGAAAUCCUAUAGCUCAACUAUAGUAAGCUUUUAAAACUGCUCAUCUUGAGGUAUGGAAGGGAAAGUGGAAUUCCUAGUGUAGCGGUGAUAUGCGCAGAUAUUAGGAGGAAUACCGGUGGCGAAGGCGACUUUCUGGCCAUAACCUGACGCUGAGGUACGAAAGCGUGGGUAGCAAACAGG
Molecule: ribosomal RNA, 402 nt
Filed under: bacterium
Lineage: Bacteria
Description: partial 16S ribosomal RNA
Rfam family: Bacterial small subunit ribosomal RNA
Source: RNAcentral